UGUGUCCAGCUCUCCCUGUGGAGUUCCCUCAAGCUAGGCUUAAUGCAGAUUAAGGUAAAAAGCAAGGGACAGAGAAACCACCUGAGCUUCCAGAAUGUGCUGCCUCAACAGCUGAUCUUGGCUGAGCAUUUCACAACACAUGUGCAUCCCUGACACUCCGGCUUUUACAUCUGAGCAACUUCAGCCAAACCGCAGGACUUGGUGAGCACUUUCACAUGCCCACAUGGAGAGCAGAUAGAAGAACACUGUGUUCUGUUCUGAAUCACUUGCUGCAUGGCUCCAGAGCCAGUGUCUUCAGGAGCAAGCCCUGUACACCCACAGCCCUGUUUCUGAAGCCAAGAAAAAUGAGAAAGAAAGGAUGCCUUCUAUAAAACCUAAGGAUGCUGUCCCUCCCUGUUUGUGGUAAAUACUUCCUUCCUCACAGGAAAGCUGUCUUGAGCUAAGAAGUAAAAUGGCAACAAGAACUGAGUUGGG
Long non-coding RNA from Zonotrichia leucophrys gambelii, 474 nucleotides. RefSeq lists it as uncharacterized. The transcript is spliced from 4 exons. Lineage: Eukaryota; Metazoa; Chordata; Aves; Passeriformes; Passerellidae. The record is from RefSeq and is a predicted model, not a curated record.